Molecule: long non-coding RNA, 1350 nt
Organism: Lepidothrix coronata (blue-crowned manakin)
Lineage: Eukaryota; Metazoa; Chordata; Aves; Passeriformes; Pipridae
Exons: 6
Source: RefSeq, a predicted model, not a curated record
UGUAUAUUAUUAUUAAAUGUGAAUCAAUAUGGUAUUACACCAGUGCUUCACCAAUAAGAAGAAUUGCAUUAAACUGGUAGCACAGUAAGAGAAUGGUUGUAUAUGGGACAGUGAUGGGGAAAGAGGAAGGAGCAUCCACAAGUUCAAGGAAUAGGUAGGUAUGUCUCUUCGUGGAGGAAAAGGUAUUGAGGGAAAAAACCCACAGGGCAGAUGUAUUGGUCUGGAUAAGACUGUAUGGUAUUAUGUCUUUAUUAACUAGUCCUAAGUGGUAGAGGUUCUGAAAACAUGUAAGUAAAAGCAUUCUAGGACUACUGUGAAAAAUAAAAAGGAUAAUUAUUAUAAAAAUGGUACUCUCAAAGCUCUCAAAGCAUUUUUUAUUAAAUCAAAAUUAUACUGAUGUAACAUUAAGAAUGAGAUUUUAACUGAAAUGUUUAAACCAAAGGUUUCUUCAAGAAACCCUCACACUGUUCCCAUGAGUAUAUGCAUAACAAUAGAUUCUUUCAUUGUGUACUGAAUUUUUGCAUCAGACACUGAAUAAUAAUUAUUUUCCACUGUAGCUUCACCCCAGCCUACCUGGAGUUUCACAACACCACAGAAGAAAGCUGCUUUCUGAAUAGGCAGCUCCUCAAAGAGGCAGUGAUCUACCAGAUGCUAAGAGGAUACACAGAAACAUGAGGGAGGGCUUAAGCCAGUAUAUAGGAGAGAAACCAGAUGUGUGAGAAACAUUAUACAGACACUGUCAAAAAUGAAGAAAGAAAUAGCUUGAAGAAGCAGAUGGGUGGACAAGGUAUUUUCCCUCAAAAAUCUCAACAAACAAUGGGAGGAAGAAAAUGGAUACCAGCCUAGAACAGCUUCAUUGAUAAAAUGAACUUGAUCUGUGUCUGAUAAAUCUUGAUAUUCAGGCAAGGUCUCCUGCCACGUUGUUCUUUAUCAAGAGGUAUGCUCAGUUCUGGAACUGCUGCACCAAAGACUAGAUUUUCUAAGAUCAGAGCAAUUCUGCCUUCAGUCUGAGAAGCAGAGCUGAGAUCUCUCAGCAGUGGUCAGGAAGUGAAUGCGAAGCUGAAUAACAUUUUGUUAAAACAGAGCAUCAGGAAUUGGUUUUACUGAAGAACAGAGGAAUCAUACAUUUGGAAAUAGUUGCUAUAAAAAGAAGUACUAGAUCUUGGUAGAAGAAAGGAGCAAGAGCACUACAGUUUCCGCUCUGGGCCAGCAAACCGUCUUAGAAUUCAUUCUGAAUAUUUCAGGUUUCUGAUUCAGAGCCUGAAACUUGACUCAAGACAGGGUGAAACUCAUCAGAAACUGUAUUCCCUGGGGGUAGUGAAGAAAAGGCUGCAAGAAAUAAGUGGAUAA